Molecule: long non-coding RNA, 1227 nt
Filed under: Phasianus colchicus (ring-necked pheasant)
Lineage: Eukaryota; Metazoa; Chordata; Aves; Galliformes; Phasianidae
Description: lncRNA (ENSPCLG00000006968.1)
Source: RNAcentral
ACAUACCUGUGCCGCACACACCCGCCUGUUUAUGCGCGCUCCGCACGGAGCACAUGGCCGCACGGACGCGGCCGCCCGCCCUGUGCGCAGCGUGAGCGCAGCACCUGGAGCUCCCCGGCCCCGCGUCUCCUCCCCGCCUCGCGUCGAUCGAACCCCUCGCCGCUCGCCGCUCCCGGCUUGGCUCGACUCGGCGGCGGGCUGCCCGCGGUUCGGGGUCCCGCUCCGAUACGGGCUCGCUUCGCUCGGUCAACAGGUCCCCGCGCCGCUCCCGCGCUCCGUCCGAGCCGCCACCUCCGUUCUCCGCCUCCUCCUCCGUGCGGCACGCGGGUACUCUCGGCCCGGCGGUGCGGGCACGCCCGGCUCCCGAGCCCGUUCCCGCUGCAACGUGAGCCCUCCCCGUGCCGGCGGCGGCCGCGGGCGCGCGGCGGGGAAGUUGUGGCCGGCGCUGCGCAUCCCCCAGCUGCAGCCGCUGCCCCGCGCCGCCGCUCGCUGCCGCGGGCUGGGCUCGGAGGGGUAGGCGACGGGGUCUCCGCUCCCUCUUCUCCCGCGCCUUCUCCUCCCGCUCCUCCGCUCGCGGAACUCCUCCCGCCACCCCCCCCCGCCACCUCCUCCCCCGCUCCGGGGCAGGCGGCCGGCUGCCGGCACGCCGCUCCCCGCCGAAGUUUGCCUCAGGCCGGGCCGGGCCCCCGUCGCCCCUCGGCUCUCCGCGGGGCCGCCGCCGCAGUCCCUCGGGGCCAGGCCGCGGCUCCCGGGAGGAGGGGAUUCCGCGGCGCGGAGGUUGGGGGGAGGGGGACGAGUGGAGACGCCGGCUCCGGAUGGGUCCCCCUUCCUUUUGGGUGGUCCCCGCUCUUGGCUGGCUUCCUUCGGUCUACCCCCCGCCCCUCCCGAGGGCAGCCUGCCCAGCGCCCCCCCCCCGCGCCUCUGGCUUCAGCGAUGUAUUUACUUUUCCAGCGGGGGUGUGAGAGUGUGCGCGCUGCCGCUACCUUCUUUCUUUCUCUCUCUUUCCUUCCCCUUUCCCCUUCCUCCCGUCCUUCUCCCGGGCUCGGGUACCGCUCCCCCCGCCCCCUCCUCCCUCGCCCCGCGGCCGCUCUCGCCCGGCCGGCCCCCUCCGCCCUGGCCCCGGGGCCCUCCGGCGGCGUGCGCCCGGCGCGCCCCCUCCCCGUUCCCCCCCGCGGUCCUCGGCCAUUGGCUUGUCCUGCUCUCUUUUUCAUGUCCAGCCCCCGAUGA